This 226-nucleotide long non-coding RNA is filed under the name Lathyrus oleraceus (garden pea). Its description in RNAcentral is "Pisum sativum (pea) long non-coding RNA (PSAT_LNC039398)". Lineage: Eukaryota; Viridiplantae; Streptophyta; Magnoliopsida; Fabales; Fabaceae. The record is from RNAcentral.
AAGAAUAGAGGAUCAAUAACCAAAUUUCCUCAGUAAGAGCAAAUAUGUGGUUGCAAACAAAAAAGUAGAAGGUUACUGACUUUCGCUCCAUCCAAAAUCCUUUUAUGAAAGAUGAACGCUUGUUUCGAGCUAACUGAACAUAGGAAUGGAAAACAUCACGGAGAAUGGGUGGGUUAGAAUAGGUUUUGAGCCUUAUAUCCUUUCUUUCUAAAAUCAUGAACCAAGC